RNAcentral lists this ribosomal RNA (253 nucleotides) under uncultured bacterium. Its description in RNAcentral is "partial 16S ribosomal RNA". It matches the Rfam family "Bacterial small subunit ribosomal RNA", at positions 524 to 776 of the family's 1533-position model. The record is from RNAcentral.
CACGUAGGCACCAAGCGUUGUCCGGAUUUAUUGGGCCUAAAGCAUCCGUAGCCGGUUUUACAAGUCCUCCGUUAAAUCCAGCUGCUUAACAGAUGGGCUGCGGAGGAUACUAUAAGACUAGGAGGCAGGAGAGGCAAGCGGUACUCAGUGGGUAGGGGUAAAAUCCGUUGAUCCAUUGAAGACCACCAGUGGCGAAGGCGGCUUGCCAGAAUGCGCUCGACGGUGAGGGAUGAAAGCUGGGGGAGCAAACCGG